Molecule: long non-coding RNA, 228 nt
Filed under: Prunus persica (peach)
Lineage: Eukaryota; Viridiplantae; Streptophyta; Magnoliopsida; Rosales; Rosaceae
Description: long non-coding RNA (PPER_LNC005415)
Source: RNAcentral
CGGAACCAAACUCAAUGGUGGGAAGCAACAGCUACACUCUUCUUGGCAUGGCUCUGGCAAGUCCCAGUUGCUUGGAGAAGUUUCCUUCCUGUUUUCCUGGUGGACCCCACCUGGUUCGCUUCUACAAGGUGCUGCUGCAUCACUGAGUGGACCCCAACAUUCCACCUUGUUGAAUUCUGGAAUGCUAGAGUGGAAGUAAACCCAAACCGAAGCCUCCUGCAAUUCUGG